Molecule: ribosomal RNA, 118 nt
Filed under: Anolis carolinensis (green anole)
Lineage: Eukaryota; Metazoa; Chordata; Lepidosauria; Squamata; Anolidae
Source: RNAcentral
UUAUGAGUACAUAUGAUACCUGAAGGCACCAGAUUCCUUCUGAUCUCAGAAAUAAAGCAGGCUGGGGCCUGGUUAGUACUGGAAGGGAGACUGCCAGGGAGUAUUAGAUGAUCAAAGA